UCCGAGCGCCCGCGGCCCGAUGGCCGGGCGGAAGAUGGCUGCCCGGAGCGCCGCGGACAGUCACGUGCGUGACGACAGCAUGUACGAUCCCUGAAUGGGCCUGUGGGCAUAUUUAGUCAUUCAUUUUUGAUCAGGAGAAAGAAGACAGCCAUCAUUUGGAAGGUAAAGCUUCUGUGACUGAAGGAGUGUGGACUUUUUGAAUUUCAAGAACAGUAAAGUUGGAACACAGUAGAGGGUGUGUAAUAAAAUACAGAUUGGAAAGAAGACUGAUGAAGAAAAAUAACAGCAUGAUUCAGGCACACCAUUGAGUUCUUUGGGAUGCCCAAAAGUGUCUGGUUGGGAAACAUGAAAUAGAAGACAAGAACCUGCCUCAGCAAGCGUACCUGAGAAUACUUUUAAAGGAACCUGUUGAUAAAUGCAAAACAGUAGCUGUUGCAGGUGAUGGAACUGUACUGGAACAAUGGGAGAAACUGGUAGCUUAUAGGAAGCCAAGAUGACCAGAAUGUUUUUAAAUAAUCCAAGGAAGAAUCCUGCUCAAAAAUGAGGUGAAUUAAUGCUUGGGCGCUCAGGAACCCUGGACAGCUAUAUGAGGUG
This 594-nucleotide small RNA is filed under the name Pan troglodytes (chimpanzee). RNAcentral describes it as "processed transcript". Lineage: Eukaryota; Metazoa; Chordata; Mammalia; Primates; Hominidae. The record is from RNAcentral.